AUCUGCCUCCAGCACAAAGCGAUAAAACCAAGGAAGAAAAGGACCAUUUGCCUCCAGCAGAAAGCGAUAAAAGCAAGGAAGUAAAGGAGCAUUCUUCUGACAAAGCCAAGAACGAAAAGG
This is a non-coding RNA of Zootoca vivipara (common lizard), 120 nucleotides long. NCBI's taxonomy places the organism in Eukaryota, Metazoa, Chordata, Lepidosauria, Squamata, Lacertidae. The record is from RefSeq and is a predicted model, not a curated record.